RNAcentral lists this RNase P RNA (426 nucleotides) under Bradyrhizobium ottawaense. Its description in RNAcentral is "RNase P RNA component class A". It matches the Rfam family "Bacterial RNase P class A". From Rfam's summary of the family: Ribonuclease P (RNase P) is a ubiquitous endoribonuclease, found in archaea, bacteria and eukarya as well as chloroplasts and mitochondria. Its best characterised activity is the generation of mature 5'-ends of tRNAs by cleaving the 5'-leader elements of precursor-tRNAs. Cellular RNase Ps are ribonucleoproteins. The record is from RNAcentral. Lineage: Bacteria; Pseudomonadati; Pseudomonadota; Alphaproteobacteria; Hyphomicrobiales; Nitrobacteraceae.
UCAGUCGGCCGGACGGCCGCUCCGGCAGGUGCCGAAAGGCCGCCGGGGAGGAAAGUCCGGGCUCCCUUGACAUACGGUGCCGGAUAACGUCCGGCGGGGGCGACCCCAGGGAAAGUGCCACAGAGAACGAACCGCCCCGCUUCGCCUUCGGCUUCGCGGGGUAAGGGUGAAAAGGUGCGGUAAGAGCGCACCGCGGGUCCGGCAACGGAGCCGGCAUGGCAAACCCCACCGGGAGCAAAACCGAAUAGGGACGGCGUAGCGGGCUGUUCGCGAAAGCGAUAACGCCGCAGGGCGAUGUCAGGCCCGCCGUCCGGGUAGGUUGCUCGAGGCCAUGUGCAAACAUGGUCCCAGAGGAAUGGCCGUCACGUAUCGUUCGCGCAAGUGGACGGUGCCUUACAGAACCCGGCUUACAGGCCGGCUGAUAUC